This 253-nucleotide ribosomal RNA is filed under the name Anaerobutyricum hallii. RNAcentral's name for it is "partial 16S ribosomal RNA". It matches the Rfam family "Bacterial small subunit ribosomal RNA", at positions 524 to 776 of the family's 1533-position model. The record is from RNAcentral. Lineage: Bacteria; Bacillati; Bacillota; Clostridia; Lachnospirales; Lachnospiraceae.
UACGUAUGGAGCAAGCGUUAUCCGGAUUUACUGGGUGUAAAGGGUGCGUAGGUGGCAGUGCAAGUCAGAUGUGAAAGGCCGGGGCUCAACCCCGGAGCUGCAUUUGAAACUGCAUAGCUAGAGUACAGGAGAGGCAGGCGGAAUUCCUAGUGUAGCGGUGAAAUGCGUAGAUAUUAGGAGGAACACCAGUGGCGAAGGCGGCCUGCUGGACUGUUACUGACACUGAGGCAUGAAAGCGUGGGGAGCAAACAGG